Non-coding RNA from Picea glauca (white spruce), 122 nucleotides. Lineage: Eukaryota; Viridiplantae; Streptophyta; Pinopsida; Pinales; Pinaceae. The record is from Rfam.
AUGUAAUGUAAUGCCUACAACAUCAAUGCACUAGUUCCCUUUAGAAAUCCAUAGUUAGGCAUGCUUGGGCUAGAGUAGUACUGGGAUGGGUGACCUCUUCGAAAGUCCUAGUGUUUUACAUG